This 695-nucleotide long non-coding RNA is filed under the name Nicotiana tabacum (common tobacco). RNAcentral's name for it is "long non-coding RNA (NTAB_LNC000305)". Lineage: Eukaryota; Viridiplantae; Streptophyta; Magnoliopsida; Solanales; Solanaceae. The record is from RNAcentral.
GAAAAAAGAGACUUACGAACUGUUUGAAAAUUCUCUUGUAAAUCAAGACAAAGACAUCAACGGGAAUAAUGAACCCGAAUCCAGAACCACGACCGGAGACGCCGAAUGGAACAACCAACAAGCGACCUCGAAUCUUACUCGAACAGGAGAGGUGAUGGAGUUACGUGCUCAUAGUUUCUGCUGGAUUUCCGGCCAGUUAUCGAAGCUAUUGUUGCUGGUUUCCAGCAGGUUUUGGUGUGAGGUAAUGGAGUUAAUAUCGUGGUUUGGUGGAGAUUUUGCAAUGAGCAGAAGCGUUUGGUGUUCUGGUUCAUUGUUUCUCGGCUGGAGCUCGUUAAUCCGACGAGCUACUGGAGCUCAUUUUUCCAGCGAGCUGCUGGAGGAGGAAGACAAAAAGAGCAGCAACUACUCUCGAUAGGUGAUUAGCGGUUGAAGCUUCCGUGCUGGGUUAGGGGUCCUAGGAUUGUUGCUGUAUGCUCAAGGUUGAAGAAGAUGAAGAUCGUGGGGUCUCUAUGGUUUUGGUUCGCUGGUUUUUCCAGAAGAAGAAGAUCGACGAUGGGGUGUGGUUCUGUUCUUUUUUGUUCUUGCGGCUGAAGCUCUAUGUCCUAGGGUUAGCUUCUUGUAUCCAUGAAGAAGAAGAUAGGUUAGGGGAAAGGUCAUUUUUGUGUGUAUGGCAGCUGUCUCUGGAAUUUCGGGGU